Molecule: long non-coding RNA, 1202 nt
Organism: Oncorhynchus tshawytscha (Chinook salmon)
Lineage: Eukaryota; Metazoa; Chordata; Actinopteri; Salmoniformes; Salmonidae
Exons: 3
Source: RefSeq, a predicted model, not a curated record
UUCUUCAGCUGAAUGAGUCUUACCAUAUCUACUUUUGUCUUGCAGCUCUUAACACAUAAAAAGCAAUAUGGCAGGUCAGUAUUUGCCUCUUUCUACUCUAGUCUACAUUCAAGAAAGAUGUCUAUGGUGACUGUGUAAUUCCAAAAUUCGGACAAAAUAACUCAAAAAUAUUACUGAAUAAAUAAACAUAAAUAUAUGAAUUAAAAAUAUGUCCCUGUAUUUAGCUAACUAUCCUUAAAAAAAUAGAAAAAGUGGCAUCUAAAUUGGCAUAUUUUAUUAGGUGCGAGCUUUGAGCAGGAGUUUCUGGAUACCCACAAUGCAUACAGGAGAAAGCAUGGCACCCCCGAACUGACCCUGAGCAGAGACCUGUGCAACUCUGCUCAGGAAUGGGCUGACCACUUGGUAGCAAUCAAUACCAUGCAGCACAGCAACACGAACAAUGGAGAGAACCUCUACUACACAUGGAGCUCUGCCCCCAAUACUCUAACAGGGAAGGAGGCUGUCGACAACUGGUACAGCGAGAUGAAAGACUACAACUUCAGCAAACCUGGAUUCACCUCAAACACUAGUACACUGUUAUUACACAUCUUUCUGGAAAAUGUGUGGUUUGAGAUCAGGUGUUUAGAACGCAAAUUAUGUCGAACUUAAACAGAAAGCUUUCAACCAUAUUGGAUAUAACAAAGCCAAGACCCAGAGAUGCCGCUUUAAUCGUAACCUUAUAUGUAUUGUGGCAUUUCUCCAAUAGGCCAUUUCACCCAGGUGGUGUGGAAAGAGAGUACUGAGGUGGGGGUGGGCCUGGGGAUUAAUGGCGAGACUGUCUUUGUGGUAGGCCAGUACAACCCAGCAGGAAACAUGAACAUGGAGGGAUACUUUAUAAAUAACGUCCUCCCUGAAGGUGGCGGCGAGAAGAACACCUCUGGUUCAGACACCUCAAGCCAACCACCUCGCUCCGAGGCAACAUGCACUGUGCUAUAGGAGCCAUAGUGAUCAGCCUUCUCCUGUCUGCAUGUCGACGGACCCUCAUCGUUGGUCAUAUUGGUCUGCAGCUGCUUCACUCCGUAACAGGCGUACCAAUCGACACAAACCAUCCCCAAUCACCUUCACUGUAAGAAAGACGUACGGUUUUGUGUACUUUAAAUGAAAAAUAAAGUUUUGCUUUUACUUUACAAGACAUCCGUAUUGAAUUGUAAUGUUGUCAUAAG